RNAcentral lists this ribosomal RNA (253 nucleotides) under uncultured bacterium. Its description in RNAcentral is "partial 16S ribosomal RNA". It matches the Rfam family "Bacterial small subunit ribosomal RNA", at positions 524 to 776 of the family's 1533-position model. The record is from RNAcentral.
UACGUAGGGACCGAGCGUUGUCCGGAUUCAUUGGGCGUGAAGAGCUCGUAGGCGGCUGCUCAAGUCGAAUGUGAAAACUCGAGGCUCAACCUCGAGCCUGCAUUCGAUACUGGGCGGCUAGAGUCUGGUAGGGGGAUCUGGAAUUCCUGGUGUAGCGGUGGAAUGCGCAGAUAUCAGGAAGAACACCAAUGGCGAAAGCAGCUCUCUGGGACGGUACUGACGCUGAGACGCGAAAGCGUGGGGAGCGAACAGG